UGAGUGGAUUUAGCCUCCAGGUUCCAUCGUUGGCUUGGGUUUCCUCCCGCUCCAGGCAGAACAGAAACGUGGGAAGCGGCAGACUGGCCGGGAGAUGAAGCUUAGGAUCCUGUCUGAGAGGAAAAAGCCCCUGAACAUCGAUUACAUGGGGGAGGACCAGCUCCGGGAGAAGGCCCAGGAGCUGUCAGAAUGGAUCCACCAGCUGGAGUCCGAGAAAUUUGACCUGAUGGAGAAGUUGAAACAACAGAAAUACGAGAUCAACGUGCUGUACAACCGCAUCAGCCACGCCCAGAAAUUGUGAGCGCCGCCCCCAGCCUCCGCCUAAGGCCUGCCCUGCUCCCUCCCUCCCCCUCCCUUCCUCCUUCCCUCCUCCUCCUUUCCUCCCCCUCUCCCUCCCUCCCUCCUUCCCUCUCC
Molecule: non-coding RNA, 414 nt
Organism: Peromyscus maniculatus bairdii (prairie deer mouse)
Lineage: Eukaryota; Metazoa; Chordata; Mammalia; Rodentia; Cricetidae
Source: RefSeq, a predicted model, not a curated record